This 132-nucleotide small nuclear RNA is filed under the name Peromyscus maniculatus bairdii (prairie deer mouse). RNAcentral describes it as "U1 spliceosomal RNA (ENSPEMG00000001730.2)". The record is from RNAcentral. Lineage: Eukaryota; Metazoa; Chordata; Mammalia; Rodentia; Cricetidae.
CAACUUAUCUGGUGGGAUAGAUCUUACGAUUAAGAGGGUUUUCCCAGGGUGAGAUAUGCUGAGUUCUGCAAGUUCCCAAAUAUGGGAACCUUGACUACAUAUUUGUGUAGUGGGGGAUUGCUUUCUCACUUA